RNAcentral lists this ribosomal RNA (553 nucleotides) under Klebsiella pneumoniae. RNAcentral's name for it is "partial 23S ribosomal RNA". It matches the Rfam family "Bacterial large subunit ribosomal RNA", at positions 398 to 954 of the family's 2925-position model. The record is from RNAcentral. Lineage: Bacteria; Pseudomonadati; Pseudomonadota; Gammaproteobacteria; Enterobacterales; Enterobacteriaceae.
UGUGAACUCGAAGAGUAGGGCGGGACACGUGGUAUCCUGUCUGAAUAUGGGGGGACCAUCCUCCAAGGCUAAAUACUCCUGACUGACCGAUAGUGAACCAGUACCGUGAGGGAAAGGCGAAAAGAACCCCGGCGAGGGGAGUGAAAAAGAACCUGAAACCGUGUACGUACAAGCAGUGGGAGCACCUUCGGGUGUGACUGCGUACCUUUUGUAUAAUGGGUCAGCGACUUAUAUUCUGUAGCAAGGUUAACCGUAUAGGGGAGCCGCAGGGAAACCGAGUCUUAACUGGGCGUUAAGUUGCAGGGUAUAGACCCGAAACCCGGUGAUCUAGCCAUGGGCAGGUUGAAGGUUGGGUAACACUAACUGGAGGACCGAACCGACUAAUGUUGAAAAAUUAGCGGAUGACUUGUGGCUGGGGGUGAAAGGCCAAUCAAACCGGGAGAUAGCUGGUUCUCCCCGAAAGCUAUUUAGGUAGCGCCUCGUGAACUCAUCUUCGGGGGUAGAGCACUGUUUCGGCUAGGGGGUCAUCCCGACUUACCAACCCGAUGCAAAC